UGUCCCCUGAUGUCCCCUGAUUGUCCCCUGGGUGUCCCCUGGGUGUCCCCUGGGUGUCCCCUGGGUGUCCCUGAUGUCCCCUGGGUGUCCCCUGGGUGUCCCCUGGUGUCCCCUGGGUGUCCCCUGAUGUCCCCUGGGUGUCCCCUGGGUGUCACCUGGUGUCCCCUGGGUGUCCCUGGGUGUCACCUGGGUGUCCCCUGGGUGUCCC
Long non-coding RNA from Poecile atricapillus (Black-capped chickadee), 208 nucleotides. RefSeq lists it as uncharacterized. The transcript is spliced from 4 exons. The record is from RefSeq and is a predicted model, not a curated record. Lineage: Eukaryota; Metazoa; Chordata; Aves; Passeriformes; Paridae.